CCUACGGGAGGCAGCAGUGGGGAAUAUUGGACAAUGGGGGGAACCCUGAUCCAGCCAUGCCGCGUGUGUGAAGAAGGCCCUCGGGUUGUAAAGCACUUUCAGUGAGGAAGAACGCCUGGUGGUUAAUACCCAUCAGGAAAGACAUCACUCACAGAAGAAGCACCGGCUAACUCCGUGCCAGCAGCCGCGGUAAUACGGAGGGUGCGAGCGUUAAUCGGAAUUACUGGGCGUAAAGCGCGCGUAGGUGGCUUGAUAAGCCGGUUGUGAAAGCCCCGGGCUCAACCUGGGAACGGCAUCCGGAACUGUCAAGCUAGAGUGCAGGAGAGGAAGGUAGAAUUCCCGGUGUAGCGGUGAAAUGCGUAGAGAUCGGGAGGAAUACCAGUGGCGAAGGCGGCCUUCUGGACUGACACUGACACUGAGGUGCGAAAGCGUGGGUAGCAAACAGGAUUAGAUACCCGGGUAGUC
Molecule: ribosomal RNA, 465 nt
Filed under: Vreelandella stevensii
Lineage: Bacteria; Pseudomonadati; Pseudomonadota; Gammaproteobacteria; Oceanospirillales; Halomonadaceae
Description: partial 16S ribosomal RNA
Rfam family: Bacterial small subunit ribosomal RNA
Source: RNAcentral